This 55-nucleotide small RNA is filed under the name bovine gut metagenome. Its description in RNAcentral is "Streptococcus sRNA SpF59 (ldcC RNA)". It matches the Rfam family "Streptococcus sRNA SpF59 (ldcC RNA)". The record is from RNAcentral.
CCGCCCGCUCCUGUAAGCGGGCCAAGGCCACACGGACAGCCGGGUCGGAUGCCGA